ACUCAAAGGAAUUGACGGGGGCCCGCACAAGCGGUGGAGCAUGUGGUUUAAUACGUCACUAACCGUAGAACCUUACCAGGGCUUGACAUCCGAUGCACCGGCCUGAAAGGGUCGUCUCCCGCAAGGGAGCGUCGAGACAGGUGUUGCAUGGCUGUCGUCAGCUCGUGUCGUGAGAUGUUGGGUUAAGUCCCGCAACGAGCGCAACCCUCAUCCCAUGUUGCCAGCGGGUGAUGCCGGGGACUCUUGGGAAACUGCCGGGGUAACUCGGAGGAAGGUGAGGAUGACGUCAAGUCAGCAUGGCCCUUACGCCCUGGGCUACACACAUGCUACAAUGGACGGCAGACAAAACGACCCGACGCCGUGAGGUAGAGGCAAUCGAAAAAACCGUUCUCAGUUCGGAUUGCAGGCUGCAACUCGCCUGCAUGAAGUCGGAAUCGCUAGUAACCGCAGGUCAGCGAAACUGCGGUGAAUACGUUCCCGGGCCUUGUACACACCGCCCGU
Molecule: ribosomal RNA, 501 nt
Filed under: uncultured bacterium
Lineage: Bacteria
Description: partial 16S ribosomal RNA
Rfam family: Bacterial small subunit ribosomal RNA
Source: RNAcentral